CCUCAUCCAUGGCUCGGAUCUCCAGGCGCAGCUUGUCCAUCACCGUGAUAAAGAGCUGGGAGCAAGUGUGUGUGCGUCUGAUGACCUCGACCGCCGGCUGAGACCCCCGACACCCUGGGCCUGCAUUGUCUUCACAACUGCAAACAGCUCUGCCAUGUUGUCGUACCUGAGGGGGCGCAGACUUCAGGCGCGGCUGCCCAGGCAGGAAGCCGAGGGCCCGAGCACACCUGCCAGCCCUGCCUGGGUGCCACUGAGGCAGAACUCCUGCUUCACUUCCUGUCAGGAGACCAGGAGGAGGAUCAGCCAGCAACACGAGGGAGGCUGCGGGGCCCCAGUGAGGACCAUGCAGAUGAGAAUCACAGCUGAUGUGACCAGGAGGGUGCCCACUACUCACCUCAUACAGC
This is a long non-coding RNA of Dama dama (fallow deer), 404 nucleotides long. RefSeq lists it as uncharacterized. The record is from RefSeq and is a predicted model, not a curated record. The transcript is spliced from 3 exons. NCBI's taxonomy places the organism in Eukaryota, Metazoa, Chordata, Mammalia, Artiodactyla, Cervidae.